CGCAGGUUGGCAGAGUGGAUAUGCACUGGUCUCAUAAGCCAGUAUAAGGUUGGUUCGAAUCCAAUGCCUGCUACCA
Molecule: transfer RNA, 76 nt
Filed under: hydrothermal vent metagenome
Description: tRNA-Met-CAT
Rfam family: tRNA
About the family: Transfer RNA (tRNA) molecules are approximately 80 nucleotides in length. Their secondary structure includes four short double-helical elements and three loops (D, anti-codon, and T loops).
Source: RNAcentral